AGAGUUUGAUCCUGGCUCAGGACGAACGCUGGCGGCGUGCUUAACACAUGCAAGUCGAACGGGCUGCCUGGUUUUCGGAUCGGGUGGUGAGUGGCGAACGGGUGAGUAACACGUGAGUAACCUGCCCCUCUCUUUGGGAUAACGUCGGGAAAUCGGCGCUAAUACCGGGUAUUCUGGCUUCCUCGCAUGGGGUUGUUGGGAAAGGUUUUUUCUGGUGGGGGAUGGGCUCGCGGCCUAUCAGCUUGUUGGUGGGGUGAUGGCCUACCAAGGCGGUGACGGGUAGCCGGCCUGAGAGGGUGUCCGGCCACACUGGGACUGAGACACGGCCCAGACUCCUACGGGAGGCAGCAGUGGGGAAUAUUGCACAAUGGGCGGAAGCCUGAUGCAGCGACGCCGCGUGGGGGAUGACGGCCUUCGGGUUGUAAACCUCUUUCAGUGCAGAACAAGGCUCUUUGUGGGUUGAGGGUAUGCGCAGAAGAAGCGCCGGCUAACUACGUGCCAGCAGCCGCGGUAAUACGUAGGGCGCGAGCGUUGUCCGGAUUUAUUGGGCGUAAAGAGCUCGUAGGCGGUUUGUCGCGUCUGCUGUGAAAUCCUCUGGCUUAACUGGGGGCGUGCAGUGGGUACGGGCAGACUGGAGUGCGGUAGGGGAGACUGGAAUUCCUGGUGUAGCGGUGGAAUGCGCAGAUAUCAGGAGGAACACCGGUGGCGAAGGCGGGUCUCUGGGCCGUUACUGACGCUGAGGAGCGAAAGCAUGGGGAGCGAACAGGAUUAGAUACCCUGGUAGUCCAUGCCGUAAACGUUGGGAACUAGGUGUGGGGUCCAUUCCACGGGUCCUGUGCCGUAGCUAACGCAUUAAGUUCCCCGCCUGGGGAGUACGGCCGCAAGGCUAAAACUCAAAUGAAUUGACGG
RNAcentral lists this ribosomal RNA (909 nucleotides) under uncultured bacterium. RNAcentral describes it as "bacterial SSU rRNA". It matches the Rfam family "Bacterial small subunit ribosomal RNA", at positions 8 to 916 of the family's 1533-position model. The record is from RNAcentral.